Molecule: ribosomal RNA, 1493 nt
Filed under: uncultured bacterium
Lineage: Bacteria
Description: bacterial SSU rRNA
Rfam family: Bacterial small subunit ribosomal RNA
Source: RNAcentral
UNAGUUUGAUCCUGGCUCAGGAUGAACGCUGGCGGCGUGCCUAAUACAUGCAAGUCGAACGCGGAUCGUAAGAUCCGAGUGGCGAACGGGUGAGUAAGACGUAAGUAACCUGGCCUAAACAGGGGGAUAACUGAUGGAAACGUCAGCUAAUACCGCAUAGGUAUAGAGACCGCAUGGAAGCUAUAUUAAAGGGUGCCAAGGCACCGGUAUAGGAUGGACUUACGGCGCAUUAGCUAGUUGGAGGGGUAAAGGCCCACCAAGGCGACGAUGCGUAGCCGACCUGAGAGGGUGACCGGCCACACUGGGACUGAGACACGGCCCAGACUCCUACGGGAGGCAGCAGUAGGGAAUUUUCGGCAAUGGGCGAAAGCCUGACCGAGCAACGCCGCGUGAAGGAAGAAGGAAUUCGUUCUGUAAACUUCUGUUAUAAAGGAAGAACGGCACAUAUAGGGAAUGAUAUGUGAGUGACGGUACUUUAUGAGGAAGCCACGGCUAACUACGUGCCAGCAGCCGCGGUAAUACGUAGGUGGCGAGCGUUAUCCGGAAUUAUUGGGCGUAAAGAGGGAGCAGGCGGCAGCAAGGGUCUGUGGUGAAAGAAUGGGGCUCAACCCCAUAGAGCCAUAGAAACCGGGCAGCUAGAGUGCAGGAGAGGAUCGUGGAAUUCCAUGUGUAGCGGUGAAAUGCGUAGAUAUAUGGAGGAACACCAGUGGCGAAKGCGACGGUCUGGACUGCAACUGACGCUCAKUCCCGAAAGCGUGGGGAGCAAAUAGGAUUAGAUACCCUAGUAGUCCACGCCGUAAACGAUGAGUACUAAGUGUUGGGAGUCAGAUCCCAGUGCUGCAGUUAACGCAGUAAGUACUCCGCCUGAGUAGUACGUUCGCAAGAAUGAAACUCAAAGGAAUUGACGGGGGCCCGCACAAGCGGUGGAGCAUGUGGUUUAAUUCGAAGCAACGCGAAGAACCUUACCAGGUCUUGACAUCGAUCUAAAAGGGCAAGAGAUUGCCAAAUAGUUAUAGAGAAGACAGGUGGUGCAUGGUUGUCGUCAGCUCGUGUCGUGAGAUGUUGGGUUAAGUCCCGCAACGAGCGCAACCCUUGUCCUUUGUUGCCAGCGGUUUAAGCCGGGAACUCAAAGGAGACUGCCAGUGACAAACUGGAGGAAGGCAGGGAUGACGUCAAGUCAUCAUGGCCCUUACGGUCAGGGCUACACACGUGCUACAAUGGGGCGUACAGAGGGAGACGAGCCCGCGAGGGGGAGUGGAACCCAGAAAGCGUCCCGCAGUUCGGAUUGGAGUCUGCAACUCGGCUCCAUGAAGUCGGAAUCGCUAGUAAUCGCGGAUCAGAAUGCCGCGGUGAAUACGUUCCCGGGCCUUGUACACACCGCCCGUCACACCAUGGGAGUGAAUUGCACCAGAAGUAGUUAGCCUAACCGAAAGGAGGGCGAUUACCACGGUGUGGUUUAUGACUGGGGUGAAGUCGUAACAAGGUAACCGUAA